UAGGGAAUCUUCCACAAUGGACGCAAGUCUGAUGGAGCAACGCCGCGUGAGUGAAGAAGGUCUUCGGAUCGUAAAGCUCUGUUGUUGGUGAAGAAGGAUAGAGGCAGUAACUGGUCUUUAUUUGACGGUAAUCAACCAGAAAGUCACGGCUAACUACGUGCCAGCAGCCGCGGUAAUACGUAGGUGGCAAGCGUUGUCCGGAUUUAUUGGGCGUAAAGCGAGCGUAGGCGGAAUGAUAAGUCUGAUGUGAAA
Molecule: ribosomal RNA, 252 nt
Filed under: uncultured bacterium
Lineage: Bacteria
Description: partial 16S ribosomal RNA
Rfam family: Bacterial small subunit ribosomal RNA
Source: RNAcentral